CACCCCGUCAUCGGGGAGUAGCCGCUCUUCGCCGCAUCGGUCGGGCACCACCCUGGCCCCGCGGACACUGGCUGGCGUCAACACACUUGGUCCGCAGACCAUGGCGUCAGCAGCCACCGGGCC
This 123-nucleotide non-coding RNA is filed under the name Burkholderiales bacterium. RNAcentral's name for it is "Manganese sequence". It matches the Rfam family "Manganese Mn2+ riboswitch aptamer (yybP-ykoY)", at positions 1 to 98 of the family's 177-position model. From Rfam's summary of the family: This RNA was originally discovered in E. coli during a large scale screen and was named SraF. The family was later found to exist upstream of related families of protein genes in many bacteria, including the the yybP and ykoK genes in B. subtilis. Lineage: Bacteria; Pseudomonadati; Pseudomonadota; Betaproteobacteria; Burkholderiales. The record is from RNAcentral.